AAGAUGGUUCUGCUAUCACUCUUGGAUGGACCUGCGGUGCAUUAGCUAGUUGGUAAGGUAACGGCUUACCAAGGCAAUGAUGCAUAGCCGAGUUGAGAGACUGAUCGGCCACAUUGGGACUGAGACACGGCCCAAACUCCUACGGGAGGCAGCAGUAGGGAAUCUUCCACAAUGGACGAAAGUCUGAUGGAGCAACGCCGCGUGAGUGAAGAAGGGUUUCGGCUCGUAAAGCUCUGUUGGUAGUGAAGAAAGAUAGAGGUAGUAACUGGCCUUUAUUGACGGUAAUUACUUAGAAAGUCACGGCUAACUACGUGCCAGCAGCCGCGGUAAUACGUAGGUGGCAAGCGUUGUCCGGAUUUAUUGGGCGUAAAGCGAGUGCAGGCGGUUCAAUAAGUCUGAUGUGAAAGCCUUCGGCUCAACCGGAGAAUUGCAUCAGAAACUGUUGAACUUGAGUGCAGAAGAGGAGAGUGGAACUCCAUGUGUAGCGGUGGAAUGCGUAGAUAUAUGGAAGAACACCAGUGGCGAAGGCGGCUCUCUGGUCUGCAACUGACGCUGAGGCUCGAAAGCAUGGGUAGCGAACAGGAUUAGAUACCCUGGUAGUCCAUGCCGUAAACGAUGAGUGCUAAGUGUUGGGAGGUUUCCGCCUCUCA
RNAcentral lists this ribosomal RNA (650 nucleotides) under uncultured bacterium. RNAcentral describes it as "bacterial SSU rRNA". It matches the Rfam family "Bacterial small subunit ribosomal RNA", at positions 202 to 842 of the family's 1533-position model. The record is from RNAcentral.